UGUAGUGAUAAUUUACAACAUAGACUCAUUAAAUAUAUCACACAACAAGGUUAAGAAGCAGUACAAUCUAGCUUACAUAACAAAACAAAUAAACUUCCAAGGGUGUUAUUCAGGAUCUUGCCGUUGACUCUCCUGAUGGCAACUAUCAUGUUGUGGCGGGUUAUGAUGGGUAGCACCGAGUAGCCCGCUACCCAAUCAUACCUAGCAUAUCCAGCCAUCCCCACCACCAUCAUCAAAGGAAGCCACCAUAUUGCCUCAACCCAUGCUCCCAAGGACCAGCAUGGAUUUGCCUGCACAUGUACAAAAUGUAAGACUUGCUAAAAAAUUAGAAGUAUGGAUUUAAGCAUGGGUUUUCAUCCAUACAUGAAACUGUACAUAAAGUAAAGUGAACCAUGCAUGUGAGCUUCAAAUAACCCCCAAAAAAGCUUCAAAUAAUUGUAUUUUUACUAUGACGCCGAUGCAACACCAAUGCAGCACAAUCUAGCAAUCAACAACAUUUAGGAUAACAUAACAUCAUGUAUGAAAUAUCAAAUGGGAAAAGAAACAAAAACACGAUAAUGGAUGAUAAAGAUCCUGGUCCAUAUGUUCUUUCCCUUUCUUAAUUUUCAUAAUACACACAUUCAGUCGCAAUAAAGAUCAAACUAGUUCCAUGGUUUGGUUCUAUAGCAGGUUGGUAAAAAAGGCCAGUUAAUGAAAAGGGAACAAUCAGUUAGCUAGUCAUUCAUAAAGUACAGGUAUGUAAGAGAAAAUAAGAAUAAUCAUAACAACAUGAAUAUAUAUUAGCUCCUACCAAUAUUGCAUAUAGUAUUAUGAGAAAUAAGAUGUUCAUUAAAGCAACACAAAAUGAUAAGAUUGGACCUGAAUAAGAACACAGUGAAGGUAUGGACAGGCUUUAUUUGGACGACGAAAUGCUGCUAUACGCCUGCAUUGACCAAAAAACUUGUUUGUUCAUUACAUGAUGUAAGUAUGUCAAAUGGAUUGAUCAUGAUUUGAUUUUCAAUAACAGAAAUGCUUAUGUCGAAUAUUUUAAAAUGCCAACUAUGGCCACUGUCUUCCAAGACAAAUAAAAUGCAUACAUUAAUUUGUUUAUUUAUCUGCAAAGAAAAUUAGGUACUCAUAGAAACGACUACAUACUACUAACUAUUUUUAUUUGUAUAUUGUUCUACAUGUCAAAAAUGAUUUAGUUAUAUAAACUGAAUGAUAAAUAUGUUUAUUUAUCAUAUAGGUAUAUGUUUCCAAGAUAAACAUAACCUAAAUGACUGACGAGCAGGGACAUCAUGAAAUCUACAUCCCAUAACUUGUAACAAACAUUUUUUCUGUCGUAUAUUACUUCACCCAAAAUCUAAUAAUAGACAAUAUUGUGAUCAAGAUUUAGUUUCACAUGUUACAGUGGGACAUAGACACAUUGUUAUGAAAAUGAUUUAUUUGAAGCGUUAAAAUGACGAGCAUGUCCUAAUAGAACAGUAGUUAUUAAAUGAAAAAAAUGUAGGCAUAAACUGAAACACAUGGUGGUCAGAAAACGCUAUAAAUCCACGACUUGAUUUCUCUUACUGAAACACGAACUCUGGGUUCAUACUUAUAGCAGUAAUAUAUACAAAUUAGCAAAGAAGCCAGGACUUCAGGAAAUGGAAAUCUUACCUCUCCAAUAUCUAAGUUGUACGUGUGUUAGUGUGUGAGAUUAAAUGUUUGAGUAUGAUGUUCUCAGCUAGUGGUCGGGGAGCAGUAGUUUGGCAUCGAGCUGCUAGCACUUGCAGCAGCAAUAGUGUUCAGGGUGGGACAACCAGAGGUGCUAGGAAACGGUGGCGAUGAACACGCACAGCAGCAGCAAGAAUGUGGAGUGGCAUUUUGAGGGAGAAGCUCCUGUGGCCACUCAAGUUUAAGUCGCUACGAUAGAAAUAAACUGUUAGCCUGAAAUGCAGUAAACAUUACUUAAAGCCUCGUUAACUAUAAAAUCUUGACUUUUUCAUAUACAAAGGAUAGGGAAAUGAACGACGGCAAAAGCAAGAAGGAUGAGUUCACAUUUUCUGGUGAUUAUUUCAAUAGAAGCAAUCAUUUUAUUCCCUUUUCU
This 2068-nucleotide long non-coding RNA is filed under the name Hordeum vulgare. Its description in RNAcentral is "long non-coding RNA (HVUL_LNC019669)". Lineage: Eukaryota; Viridiplantae; Streptophyta; Magnoliopsida; Poales; Poaceae. The record is from RNAcentral.